GGAUAUAGCUCAGUUGGUUAGAGCGCCAGGUUGUGGCCCUGGAGGUCCUGGGUUCGAAUCCCAGUAU
This 67-nucleotide transfer RNA is filed under the name human gut metagenome. It matches the Rfam family "tRNA", at positions 5 to 66 of the family's 71-position model. From Rfam's summary of the family: Transfer RNA (tRNA) molecules are approximately 80 nucleotides in length. Their secondary structure includes four short double-helical elements and three loops (D, anti-codon, and T loops). The record is from RNAcentral.